GUUUCAAGUUUCAUCAAGAUUUUGGUUGUAGCUAUUGGAGUCAUCCUUUGUGUGUUUGCAGCACUUCUCUUUGGACUUUGCUGCAUAAGAAGGAUGAAGAAGCAGACAACACCUAAUCAAGUGAACACUCACUCGACUCCUCCCGAUGGUCCGUACAUAUCUCUGGAUCCUCGAUUCAUCUCUUGUGAUUAUUCCAAUCUAACAACUCCAAGAAAUCAACAAUGACAUCGUCACCAUGGAUACCUGGAGAAUGAGAGAGAG
Molecule: long non-coding RNA, 261 nt
Organism: Silurus meridionalis
Lineage: Eukaryota; Metazoa; Chordata; Actinopteri; Siluriformes; Siluridae
Exons: 4
Source: RefSeq, a predicted model, not a curated record